This is a long non-coding RNA of Salvelinus fontinalis (brook trout), 1452 nucleotides long. RefSeq lists it as uncharacterized. Lineage: Eukaryota; Metazoa; Chordata; Actinopteri; Salmoniformes; Salmonidae. The transcript is spliced from 3 exons. The record is from RefSeq and is a predicted model, not a curated record.
GACAAAAUUGUCACAUCGAGAAAAUAUCCUUCCUCAGUGACAAGAUAUUAGAGAAACAACACGGUUCUUCCUGAUUAUUAUUUACAUCUGGACUAUCUCGGAGUUUCCUCCGUGUAGGCGUUUUACGCAUAGCAGAAACGUGUGGAUUAAUACAAAUACUAAACUAGCUGGGAGAACAGAGAACGUGAAAAUGGACGAGAAGGGGCCGUGCCAGUCGACCAGUACCCAGGCUAAAUGAAGAGGGGAAGUUGCCAUUGUGAAUGGAUUGAACGACUCAUCAGGACUAAGGACACCUUGAUCAACAUUCUGAUGAAAGACCAGCAAUACCUCAGGUGGAGAGACAUCAGAGAGAGAAUGAACCAGUCUGGAGAGGCUGAGAACAAUGCUGCUGCAGGGGCCACAACAUCAGGUAUGAAGUUCACUUGACUGCUCUAAAUGCAGCUUAUAUCACUGUAAACCCAAGGAUUUUUAACUCCAAUACUUAUAGUAAGUUGAAGUCAGUCAAUGAAAAGUAAUGAUUACUUUUGUGGUACUGACUCAAAACUAAAUGAGACUCCAUUUUUUAAAAGUUAUGAUAACAAAUGCACUUUACUCAGCAUGUUCUACUUCAGGUAGAUUUAAAAAAGUAUUUUAAUAUCUGUUUUUGCAUGUACAAUGAGUGAUUGAUAUGCUACACAAAGAUAAAUAACAUCCAUUUUUCUAAACUAAUCUAAUCAUUUAGCUCAAUUUUUUUUCACCGGUUACUGGAAUGGUUGUUCCAGUUUAAUUGGGUUAGGUAGUCUCCCCACACUGUUCCUAACCCUGGUUGUAACGGCGUUCCUCCUCCUCUUCAUCCGAAAAGGAGUAGUGAUUCGACCAAAAUGCAGCGUUGUAGUUCGACAUAUUAUUUAUUAAACAACACAGAAAACACGACUAACACUUGAAUAAUCAUAAAACAAUAAACGACGUAGACAGACCUGGACGACGAACUUACAUGAAACACGAAGAACGCAAUAACAGGAAAACUGACUACAUAAAACGAACAAACAAAACUGAAAACAGUCCCGUGUGGCGUAACAUACACUGACACAGACACAGGAGACAACCACACACAAACAAACAGUGUGAAAAUACCUACCUUAAUAUGGCUCUCAAUCAGAGGAAAUGAAAACCACCUGCCUAUAAUUGAGAGCCAUAUCAGGUCACCCUUAACAAACAUUGAAACACACAACAUAGACUACCCACCCAAACUCACGCCCUGACCGUCAAACACAUACAAAAUAACAGAAAACCGGUCAGGAACGUGACACCGGUUUACUAGAGGCAAUGAUCUGCCCUCCCACCGGUCUAACAUGGUCUACAAUCGAGAGCUGUAAUUUGUAUUUUCAAAAUACUAAAUACUUUUCUAUACCAUUUGUUUUUUAUACUGGUUCACCAUUUUGUGCCUUUCACCCUGCAUUGGUAUCAGAAGUC